Molecule: ribosomal RNA, 468 nt
Filed under: uncultured bacterium
Lineage: Bacteria
Description: partial 16S ribosomal RNA
Rfam family: Bacterial small subunit ribosomal RNA
Source: RNAcentral
GAUGAACGCUGGCGGCGUGCUUAACACAUGCAAGUCGAACGGUGAAGGCGGAGCUUGCUCUGCUGGAUCAGUGGCGAACGGGUGAGUAACACGUGAGCAAUCUGCCCCUGACUCUGGGAUAAGCGCUGGAAACGGCGCCUAAUACUGGAUACGAGCUGCGAAGGCAUCUUCAGCAGCUGGAAAGAACUUCGGUCAGGGAUGAGCUCGCGGCCUAUCAGCUUGUUGGUGAGGUAACGGCUCACCAAGGCGUCGACGGGUAGCCGGCCUGAGAGGGUGACCGGCCACACUGGGACUGAGAGACGGCGCAGACUCCUACGGGAGGCAGCAGUGGGGAAUAUUGCACAAUGGGCGAGAGCCUGAUGCAGCAACGCCGCGUGAGGGACGACGGCCUUCGGGUUGUAAACCUCUUUUAGCAGGGAAGAAGCGAAAGUGACGGUACCUGCAGAAAAAGCGCCGGCUAACUACGUG